UGUGAGGUAUGCUGGAGGUAUCAGAAGUGCGAAUGCUGACAUAAGUAACGAUAAAGCGGGUGAAAAGCCCGCUCGCCGGAAGACCAAGGGUUCCUGUCCAACGUUAAUCGGGGCAGGGUGAGUCGACCCCUAAGGCGAGGCCGAAAGGCGUAGUCGAUGGGAAACAGGUUAAUAUUCCUGUACUUGGUGUUACUGCGAAGGGGGGACGGAGAAGGCUAUGUUGGCCGGGCGACGGUUGUCCCGGUUUAAGCGUGUAGGCUGGUUUUCCAGGCAAAUCCGGAAAAUCAAGGCUGAGGCGUGAUGACGAGGCACUACGGUGCUGAAGCAACAAAUGCCCUGCUUCCAGGAAAAGCCUCUAAGCAUCAGGUAACAUCAAAUCGUACCCCAAACCGACACAGGUGGUCAGGUAGAGAAUACCAAGGCGCUUGAGAGAACUCGGGUGAAGGAACUAGGCAAAAUGGUGCCGUAACUUCGGGAGAAGGCACGCUGAUAUGUAGGUGAAGUCCCUCGCGGAUGGAGCUGAAAUCAGUCGAAGAUACCAGCUGGCUGCAACUGUUUAUUAAAAACACAGCACUGUGCAAACACGAAAGUGGACGUAUACGGUGUGACGCCUGCCCGGUGCCGGAAGGUUAAUUGAUGGGGUCAGCGCAAGCGAAGCUCUUGAUCGAAGCCCCGGUAAACGGCGGCCGUAACUAUAACGGUCCUAAGGUAGCGAAAUUCCUUGUCGGGUAAGUUCCGACCUGCACGAAUGGCGUAAUGAUGGCCAGGCUGUCUCCACCCGAGACUCAGUGAAAUUGAACUCGCUGUGAAGAUGCAGUGUACCCGCGGCAAGACGGAAAGACCCCGUGAACCUUUACUAUAGCUUGACACUGAACAUUGAGCCUUGAUGUGUAGGAUAGGUGGGAGGCUUUGAAGUGUGGACGCCAGUCUGCAUGGAGCCGACCUUGAAAUACCACCCUUUAAUGUUUGAUGUUCUAACGUUGACCCGUGAUCCGGGUUGCGGACAGUGUCUGGUGGGUAGUUUGACUGGGGCGGUCUCCUCCUAAAGAGUAACGGAGGAGCACGAAGGUUGGCUAAUCCUGGUCGGACAUCAGGAGGUUAGUGCAAUGGCAUAAGCCAGCUUGACUGCGAGCGUGACGGCGCGAGCAGGUGCGAAAGCAGGUCAUAGUGAUCCGGUGGUUCUGAAUGGAAGGGCCAUCGCUCAACGGAUAAAAGGUACUCCGGGGAUAACAGGCUGAUACCGCCCAAGAGUUCAUAUCGACGGCGGUGUUUGGCACCUCGAUGUCGGCUCAUCACAUCCUGGGGCUGAAGUAGGUCCCAAGGGUAUGGCUGUUCGCCAUUUAAAGUGGUACGCGAGCUGGGUUUAGAACGUCGUGAGACAGUUCGGUCCCUAUCUGCCGUGGGCGCUGGAGAACUGAGGGGGGCUGCUCCUAGUACGAGAGGACCGGAGUGGACGCAUCACUGGUGUUCGGGUUGUCAUGCCAAUGGCACUGCCCGGUAGCUAAAUGCGGAAGAGAUAAGUGCUGAAAGCAUCUAAGCACGAAACUUGCCCCGAGAUGAGUUCU
Molecule: ribosomal RNA, 1565 nt
Filed under: Escherichia coli C87_11
Lineage: Bacteria; Pseudomonadati; Pseudomonadota; Gammaproteobacteria; Enterobacterales; Enterobacteriaceae
Description: bacterial LSU rRNA
Rfam family: Bacterial large subunit ribosomal RNA
Source: RNAcentral